AUAGCGUAUAUUAAAGUUGUUGCAGUUAAAAAGCUCGUAGUUGGAUUUCAAGGUGGAGGUGAGGCAACUCGCCGAAGCUUAUCAGUCCGAAAGGACUGUUACUGUGAGAAAAUUAGAGUGUUUCAAGCAGGCUAUUGCAGGAAUACAUUAGCAUGGAAUAACGAAUGUGUCUAGAAUCUUGGUUAAUUCUAGAUUACGAUUAAUAGGGACAGUUGGGGGCAUUAGUAUUUAAUUGUCAGAGGUGAAAUUCUUGGAUUUGUUAAAGACUAACGUAUG
RNAcentral lists this ribosomal RNA (276 nucleotides) under uncultured eukaryote. RNAcentral describes it as "partial 18S ribosomal RNA". It matches the Rfam family "Eukaryotic small subunit ribosomal RNA", at positions 594 to 945 of the family's 1831-position model. The record is from RNAcentral.